This 691-nucleotide long non-coding RNA is filed under the name Triticum aestivum (bread wheat). RNAcentral describes it as "long non-coding RNA (TAES_LNC017286)". The record is from RNAcentral. Lineage: Eukaryota; Viridiplantae; Streptophyta; Magnoliopsida; Poales; Poaceae.
UCCACUCCAAGGUACGUUGAAGCAUUAGCAAGGAGCUUCUUCAAGGCUGGAGAUGCGGCCACUUUUAGGCUAACACUAAAGGCAGCGCUAGCUAAUGCCACUUCCAUUGAGUUGUGGGGUUUUAUUUUUUGGUCUGAAUAAACUGAAGAUAGAACUGGAAUUGUUUCUUGACUCGGUGAUGGAUUAAAAAUCUGUUGAAGCAGUAAAUCACAAGAUAAAUUAGCCAGCUGCAACGGUGAUAUGAAAACAGAAACCUACUGGUAGAUCACUAGACAAUGGCAAAUACUAAGAAAACUAUUUUGAGAGUGCGGAAUGACCUGAAUAUCGAUAGAUGAGCAACUGAAAGUGCUUCUGGAUCAGAGGUAGAAAUAACCAGUGAAUAUAACAAUGGAUGAACACCUGUUGGACUGAGAAAUCACGAAAUAGAUUAGCCGGUUGCAACAACGAAGAUAAUAAACAGAACCCUACAGCCAGAUUUGUAGAGGAUAACAGAUCAGAACAUAGCGGUGAGCUUACACAGAAGCAGAGUUGUAGGGGCCGGCGCAGAGACUAGGCAAAGUUGCAGGAGACGCAGAUAGUAGGAGCUAACAAUGUUGUGUUGCAAGAGAAUGAGAGACAGACAUCCCAAAACAGCAGGUCAACAAGGCUAUAGCAGAUCUGAUCCACCCACUUGCCCUUUUUUAAAGUUUAG